AGGACCCAGCACUCAGCACCCAGGACUCAGCACCCAGCACCUAGAUCACCAAGCACUCAGCACCCAGAUAACCCAGCACCUGGAUCACCCAGCACUCAGCACCUAGGACCCAGCACCCAGAUCACCCAGGACCGAAGUGGACGUCUGCGAUUUUUAGGAUGAAAAUUUCAUUUUUGCCCCCCGCACCCCGGUCGGAAUUCCCCGACUUAUUUGGCGGGAAGCAGCGGUCCGCCCAGCCCCCCACUCACCGUCGAGCGCGUCCGAGAGGUCGAAAUCUGAGGAAAAAACAAAAAAC
This is a long non-coding RNA of Alexandromys fortis (reed vole), 295 nucleotides long. RefSeq lists it as uncharacterized. The record is from RefSeq and is a predicted model, not a curated record. The transcript has 3 exons. Lineage: Eukaryota; Metazoa; Chordata; Mammalia; Rodentia; Cricetidae.